GGCAGCCCGGGCGCGCCGGCAGCCCCGCUCGGAUGGAGGUCCUGGACGAGUUCGACAGCGAGUUCCCCCAGAGCGUGACCUUCUGCCAGCUCAUCUCCGAGGAGGACUUCGAGAGGCAGGCGGCGACCUACACCGAGCGCGCCCUGCGCCGCCUCUUCCGCAGCCUCGACCGCAACCCGGCGCUGGCGGAGAGGGUGGUGCGCAAGGGCAAGCAGGCCGAGCUGGAACAGCGCGGGCUCGCCUCCUUCCUCUGGGUGCGGCCGCGGGCUCGCGGACGGGAGGGCGGGAGCUGUCCCCACCGCGCUUGCUGUCCCCGGGGCGGGAGCUCUGACGUUUGGAGAUUUGGGGGCUGGGUUGGGGGAGGGCGCCGGGCCUAGCAGGGACUGGCAGAUGGGGUCUUCCAGAAGCCUGGGGUGCCCAGCCUGGGGAGUGGGGUGAGCGGGCGUCUUACUCCUUGGGCUUCCUCCUGCCCGGUGUCUCCCGCUGUUGUCGCAGGCAAAGUUCUUCAGUGCCGUCCAGGGGGACCUGAACCACUGCAACAGCAUGGGCGCCCUAGAGAUGCACCAGCGCCUCGAGCAGCUGAAGCGGAGCAUCCACCGCGUGCACGUCUACUCCCGAGAUGCCAAGAAGAGGAGAAGGAAGCUAAAACUGAAGAAACCAGAGCCCAUCCUCCUACGGGACCGGUCGACCUCCCCGUGCCUGCCACCAACCCUGCUGCCACCUCCACCGCUGCUGCCACCACCACCUGCCACCACCAAGGCGUCUCUGGGGGCUCCAUCACCCCCUGUCUACACCAUGCCCAGGGUCUUUGGCCCCUUCCCUCCGCUGCCCAGCAAGUCGGUGGAGAAUGUGGACAUUGCAAGGUCUGAAGCGAAAUUAAACUGGAAUGGCCUGUCGCCGAACCCCAAGAGCUGCAUGGUCGACCUGACCCCCUUGGUUCUCAACCCUGGAGGCUUCCAUUUCUCGUACUUGGCUGGGAACAGCUCACACAAGCUCCAUUGCCCCACCUUCCCCUGGAACUCGGCUUGUAGUAGCUCCCCCAACGCCGACGAGACUCCAGCCCCUGCUGUGAAGGCCUCCAUCUUCUCCCCGCCUGUCCUACUGAAAUUCCAUCCUGUGCCCAGACCCAAAGACGACUCAGAGAACGACCCUGGCAGCACAGAGUCUGUGACCCACAAGAGGAGCCCAUAACCUCUUCCCUACAGACUGUGGCCCAAGGAAUGAAUAAAGUUCCUGCAGAGGUGCCUACCCUGGGCUGGGAACCCUAGGGUUGUGCAAUCCCCUGAGCUCCCUCUGGCCCAAAGAGGUGCUCAGGGUCCUGUUGGCACCAUUGAGGUCCCCUCAGUUGCAGUCUACCAUGACAGUUCAGUCAUGUACACUUUGAAAGAGAAACAGGGUGGGGGAGUGCUCCCUUCCUUUCAGUGACUCUGGAGCCCUCAGGCUCCUCUGGACCCAAGUGAGUUCUAAGUCUAGUGUAUUUUUCCUACACCUGGCCCCUAAACACAUGGUGGCAACUGAUGCACAGGUUUAGAAACCACUGUUUCUAAAGUGGUUUCUAAGUGAUCUAGGCCAGGCACUGUGGCUGACGCCUGUAAUCCUAGCACUCUGGGAGGCUGAGGUGGGAGGAUCACUCAAGGUCAGGAGUUUGAAACCAGCCUGAGCAAGAGCGAGACCCUGUCUCUCCUAAAAAAAUAGAAAUUAAUUGGCCAACUAAA
Long non-coding RNA from Microcebus murinus (gray mouse lemur), 1715 nucleotides. The record is from Ensembl. Lineage: Eukaryota; Metazoa; Chordata; Mammalia; Primates; Cheirogaleidae.